RNAcentral lists this ribosomal RNA (695 nucleotides) under uncultured Ascomycota. Its description in RNAcentral is "LSU rRNA". It matches the Rfam family "Eukaryotic large subunit ribosomal RNA", at positions 537 to 1236 of the family's 3401-position model. Lineage: Eukaryota; Fungi; Ascomycota. The record is from RNAcentral.
CUUCGGGAAUGUAGCUCCUCUCGAGGAGUGUUAUAGCCCGUUGCGAAAUGCGGCCAGCUUGAACUGAGGUCCGCGCUUCGGCUAGGAUGCUGGCGUAAUGGUUGUAAGCGGCCCGUCUUGAAACACGGACCAAGGAGUCUAACAUCUGUGCGAGUGUUUGGGUGUCAAACCCGUACGCGUAAUGAAAGUGAACGGAGGCGGGAACCUCUCGGGGUGCACCGUCGACCGAUCCUGAUGUCUUCGGAUGGAUUUGAGUAAGAGCAUAGCUGUUGGGACCCGAAAGAUGGUGAACUAUGCCUGAAUAGGGUGAAGCCAGAGGAAACUCUGGUGGAGGCUCGCAGCGGUUCUGACGUGCAAAUCGAUCGUCAAAUUUGGGCAUAGGGGCGAAAGACUAAUCGAACUAUCUAGUAGCUGGUUCCUGCCGAAGUUUCCCUCAGGAUAGCAGUAACGUUUUCAGUUUUAUGAGGUAAAGCGAAUGAUUAGAGGCCUGGGGGUUGAAACAACCUUCACCUAUUCUCAAACUUUAAAUAUGUAAGAAGUCCUUGUUGCUUAGUUGAACGUGGACAUUUGAAUGUAUCGUUACUAGUGGGCCAUUUUUGGUAAGCAGAACUGGCGAUGCGGGAUGAACCGAACGCGGAGUUAAGGUGCCGGAAUGCACGCUCAUCAGACACCACAAAAGGUGUUGGUUCAUCUAG